This 407-nucleotide ribosomal RNA is filed under the name uncultured bacterium. RNAcentral describes it as "partial 16S ribosomal RNA". It matches the Rfam family "Bacterial small subunit ribosomal RNA", at positions 29 to 526 of the family's 1533-position model. The record is from RNAcentral.
AUUGAACGCUGGCGGCAGGCCUAACACAUGCAAGUCGCGCGGAGCGGCGGACGGGUGAGUAAUGCCUAGGAAUCUGCCUGGUAGUGGGGGAUAACGUACGGAAACGGGCGCUAAUACCGCAUACUAUCAGAUGAGCCUAGGUCGGAUUAGCUAGUUGGUGGGGUAAAGGCCUACCAAGGCGACGAUCCGUAACGGGUCUGAGAGGAAGAUCAGUCACACUGGAACAGAUGUACGGGCCAGACGCCUAAGGGAGGCAGCAGUGGGGAAUAAUGGACAAUGGGUGAAAGUCUGACCCAGCCAGGCCGGGGGUGUGAAGAAGGUCUUCGGAUUGUAAAACACUUUAAGUUGGGAGGCGUUACCAACAGAAUAAGCACCGGCUAACUUCGUGCCGGAAGCCGGGGUAAUUC